Molecule: ribosomal RNA, 321 nt
Filed under: uncultured eukaryote
Lineage: Eukaryota
Description: partial 18S ribosomal RNA
Rfam family: Eukaryotic small subunit ribosomal RNA
Source: RNAcentral
CCCUUAGAUGUCCUGGGCCGCACGCGCGCUACACUGACAUGUUCAACAAGCCUCCUAGUUCGACAGGAUUUGGGAAAUCUUUGAACGCAUGUCGUGAUAGGGAUAGAUCAUUGCAAUUAUUGAUCUUGAACGAGGAAUUCCUAGUAAACGCGAGUCAUCAGCUCGCAUUGAUUACGUCCCUGCCCUUUGUACACACCGCCCGUCGCACCUACCGAUUGAAUGUUUCGGUGAAGAUUCCGGAUAGGACUUUUAUGAUUUAUUUCAAUUUUGUCUUAAAAGCUAUCUAAACCUCAACAUUUAGAGGAAGGUGAAGUCGUAACA